This 26-nucleotide non-coding RNA is filed under the name Cricetulus griseus (Chinese hamster). The record is from RNAcentral. Lineage: Eukaryota; Metazoa; Chordata; Mammalia; Rodentia; Cricetidae.
AGGAGUCCUAUGGAGUUUUGUUUUUG